This 281-nucleotide ribosomal RNA is filed under the name Phocaeicola plebeius DSM 17135. Its description in RNAcentral is "partial 16S ribosomal RNA". It matches the Rfam family "Bacterial small subunit ribosomal RNA", at positions 493 to 776 of the family's 1533-position model. Lineage: Bacteria; Pseudomonadati; Bacteroidota; Bacteroidia; Bacteroidales; Bacteroidaceae. The record is from RNAcentral.
UAUGGUAAUUGUGUGCCAGCCGCGGUACUACGGAGGAUGCGAGCGUUAUCCGGAUUUAUUGGGUUUAAAGGGAGCGCAGACGGGUCGUUAAGUCAGCUGUGAAAGUUUGGGGCUCAACCUUAAAAUUGCAGUUGAUACUGGCGUCCUUGAGUGCGGUUGAGGUGUGCGGAAUUCGUGGUGUAGCGGUGAAAUGCUUAGAUAUCACGAAGAACUCCGAUUGCGAAGGCAGCACACUAAGCCGUAACUGACGUUCAUGCUCGAAAGUGUGGGUAUCAAACAGG